This 454-nucleotide ribosomal RNA is filed under the name uncultured Rikenellaceae bacterium. Its description in RNAcentral is "partial 16S ribosomal RNA". It matches the Rfam family "Bacterial small subunit ribosomal RNA", at positions 341 to 792 of the family's 1533-position model. Lineage: Bacteria; Pseudomonadati; Bacteroidota; Bacteroidia; Bacteroidales; Rikenellaceae. The record is from RNAcentral.
ACGGAAGGCAGCAGUGAGGAAUAUUGGUCAAUGGACGCAAGUCUGAACCAGCCAUGCCGCGUGCGGGAAUAAGGCCCUAUGGGUCGUAAACUGCUUUUGUGGUGGAGCAAUAAGUCGUACGUGUACGGCGAUGAGAGUACAUCACGAAUAAGCAUCGGCUAACUCCGUGCCAGCAGCCGCGGUAAUACGGAGGAUGCAAGCGUUAUCCGGAUUUAUUGGGUUUAAAGGGUGCGUAGGCUGUGGUCCAAGUCAGGGGUGAAAGCCCGGAGCUCAACUCCGGAACUGCCUUUGAUACUGGAUUGCUGGAAUACGGAUGCCGUGGGAGGAAUGAGUAGUGUAGCGGUGAAAUGCAUAGAUAUUACUCAGAACACCGAUUGCGAAGGCAUCUCACGAAUCCGUCAUUGACGCUGAGGCACGAAAGCGUGGGGAUCAAACAGGAUUAGAUACCCUGGUA